GUGCUUGUUUCAGCAGCACAUACAACAAAAUUAGAAUAAUGCAAAGAUUCAUAUGUCAUCUGCAUAAGAGUGAUAUGCAAAUUCUUGAAUUGUUCCAUAUUUUU
Molecule: small nuclear RNA, 104 nt
Organism: Vombatus ursinus (common wombat)
Lineage: Eukaryota; Metazoa; Chordata; Mammalia; Diprotodontia; Vombatidae
Source: Ensembl